AUUGAACGCUGGCGGCAGGCCUAACACAUGCAAGUCGAGCGGUUGAGGUAGCUUGCUACCGAUACAGCGGCGGACGGGUGAGUAAUACAUGGGAAUCUGCCUGGUAGUGGGGGACAACGUUUCGAAAGGAACGCUAAUACCGCAUACGCCCAACGGGGGAAAGGGGGGGAUCUGCGGACCUCUCGCUAUCAGAUGAGCCCAUGUCAGAUUAGCUUGUUGGUGAGGUAAAGGCUCACCAAGGCGACGAUCUGUAACUGGUCUGAGAGGAUGAUCAGUCACACUGGAACUGAGACACGGUCCAGACUCCUACGGGAGGCAGCAGUGGGGAAUAUUGGACAAUGGGCGCAAGCCUGAUCCAGCCAUGCCGCGUGUGUGAAGAAGGCCUUAGGGUUGUAAAGCACUUUCAGUGGGGAGAAAGGCCUUUUACUUAAUACGUAAGAGGAUUGAUGUUACCCACAGAAGAAGCACCGGCUAACUCCGUGCCAGCCGCCGCGGUAA
Molecule: ribosomal RNA, 498 nt
Filed under: uncultured bacterium
Lineage: Bacteria
Description: partial 16S ribosomal RNA
Rfam family: Bacterial small subunit ribosomal RNA
Source: RNAcentral